Molecule: non-coding RNA, 159 nt
Organism: Pelobates cultripes (western spadefoot toad)
Lineage: Eukaryota; Metazoa; Chordata; Amphibia; Anura; Pelobatidae
Source: the annotation of a GenBank genome assembly
GCUGACACAUCCCUGCCAAUCUCCGGCAGACCCUCCCUCCCAGACCCUUCUACUUCCUGGACAGCAUCCAUGUUGAAGGCAGCUUCAACAUGGAUGCUGUCCAGGAGGUGGGAGGGUCUGGGAGGGAGGGUCUGACGGAGAUUGGCAGGGAUGUGUCAG